Siniperca chuatsi (mandarin fish) is the source of this 3855-nucleotide RNA transcript. RefSeq lists it as uncharacterized. The transcript has 4 exons. NCBI's taxonomy places the organism in Eukaryota, Metazoa, Chordata, Actinopteri, Centrarchiformes, Sinipercidae. The record is from RefSeq and is a predicted model, not a curated record.
ACACCUGCACAGGCUGAACACUGGGUCCGCUCCAUUUCAGUGCGCUGGUGCACCGCCUAACACGUAACGGCGAGGGCCGGGAAAACUGCUGACAAAAACAGCAAUGUCGGCCCACAGGGAAAAGGCCAUGGUAGCUUUCUUAGUUGACAAAUAAUGGUCAACAUGGACAGCAAUGUUCACAAUAUGAUUUUAUGUAAGUCUGAAAUACAUUGAUCAGUUGUCCGUCUUAUUACUCUCCCUUGACCUGCUAAUGUUUGAAUGGGCCAUGUGGUUUAGGUAGGCGUACAUCCCGCUGUCGCUGCUUGAAUUUGCUCCGAUGACGCCUUUUAAGUGGUGUGCAGACUCCGCCUACCCGGCGCACCACUGGCGUAAGCCGGUGUGGUAAUGGUGCGGACCCAGUAUCAACACACGAGGGGAGGUUACACGCGCGUUAUGUGUGUGCAGUAAACACAGAUCAGAGUACUCCACUAACAGGGCAGUGACUGCCAGCCCGUCCAUCAUCACUGCUGACAGAAGUACAGACAGACAGUCUCCACUUUGCUGAAGACAAGUCUUGCUAUUAGAUGGCGUUAUUUGCAUGUAAAAAUGGCGUAUAAUGAACCAGUUCGUCCGAGAGAAUAUGUGCUUUCAACACGUGAAGAACCAGAACCACCUCAGCUGCAAGACACCUGUGCAGUAAUGGACAGACCACCAGGCCAGGUCAUAAGCACAGGCAUUCAAGUAAAUGUACCCGAGACAUGCACCGCAACCAUGGAGAACUUUCUUUUCUGCCCGAUAACAGACCGACUCUGCAGCACAUUGUUGAUGAGGAGGCCAUUCUGCAGCUGAUGAAGAACUGCCCGAUGUGCAACAGAAAGUGUCGCUGUAGCAAACGCACUCGUGGUCCUUACUUCAUAGUCUACCAGAGCUGUUACUUCUGCCAUUAUCAACGCAAGUGGGCCAGCCAACCAGAAGCCAGAAAUAUGAACACUCCUAAGGCGCAUACACCGUCCAAGAGGAAACUUCAGCCUAAGGACAAGGUGUCUGUAAAUGCCAAGGCUCAGUCAUCACAACUUAAUAAGACAAGCAUUUCUGAAUCCUCAGUCUCAGAGUCCCAUGACCCAUUGGCCUGAGGAGCCCACUGUCAACUCUGUCUUUAGAUACAGUGAGGAAAAUAAGUAUUUGAACACCCUGCUAUUUUGCAAGUUCUCCCACUUAGAAAUCAUGGAGGGGUCUGAAAUUGUCAUCGUAGGUGCAUGUCCACUGUGAGAGACAUAAUCUAAAAAAAAUAAAAUACAUUUUUUUUUUUUAACUAUUUAUUUGUAUGAUACAGCUGCAGAUAAGUAUUUGAACAUCUGAGAAAAUCAAUGUUAAUAUUUGGUACAGUAGCCUUUGUUUGAAAUUACAGAGGUCAAACAUUUUCUGUAGUUUUUCACCAGGUUUGCACACACUGCAGGAGGGAUUUUGGCCCACUCCUCCACACAGAUCUUCUCUAGAUCAGUCAGGUUUCUGGCCUGUCGCUGAGAAACACGGAGUUUGAGCUCCCCCCAAAGAUUCUCUAUUGGGUUCAGGUCUGGAGACUGGCUAGGCCACGCCAGAACCUUGAUAUGCUUCUUACAGAGCCACUCCUUGGUUAUCCUGGCUGUGUGCUUCGGGUCAUUGUCAUGUUGGAAGACCCAGCCUCGACCCAUCUUCAGUGCUCUAACUGAGGGAAGGAGGUUGUUCCCCAAAAUCUCGCAAUACAUGGCCAUCCUCUCCUUAAUACAGUGCAGUUGCCCUGUCCCAUGUGCAGAAAAACACCCCCAAAGCAUGAUGCUACCACCCCCAUGCUUCACAGUAGGGAUGGUGUUCUUGGGAUGGUACUCAUCAUUCUUCUUCCUCCAAACACGUUUAGUGGAAUUACAUCAUCUGACCACAUGACUUUCUCCCAUGACUCCUCUGGAUCAUCCAAAUGGUCAUUGGCAAACUUAAGACGGGCCUGGACAUGUGCUGGUUUCAGCAGGGGAACCUUCCGUGCCAUGCAUGAUUUCAAACCAUGACGUCUUAGUGUAUUACCAACAGUAACCUUGGAAACGGUGGUCCCAGCUCUUUUCAGGUCAUUGACCAGCUCCUCCCGUGUAGUUCUGGGCUGAUUUCUCACCUUUCUUAGGAUCAUUGAGACCCCACAAGGUGAGAUCUUGCAUGGAGCCCCAAUCCGAGGGAGAUUGACAGUCCUGUUUAGCUUCUUCCAUUUUCUAAUGAUUGCUCCAACAGUGGACCUUUUUUCAUUUUUUCACAUUUCCCUGUAGCCCUUUCCAGCCUUGUGGAGGUGUACAAUUUUGUCUCUAGUGUCUUUGGACAGCUCUUUGGUCUUGGCCAUGUUAGUAGUUGGAUUCUUACUGAUUGUAUGGGGUGGACAGGUGUCUUUAUGCAGCUAACGACCUCAAACAGGUGCAUCUAAUUUAGGAUAAUAAAUGGAGUGGAGGUGGACAUUUUAAAGGCAGACUAACAGGUCUUUGAGGGUCAGAAUUCUAGCUGAUAGACAGGUGUUCAAAUACUUAUUUGCAGCAGUAUCAUACAAAUAAAUAAUCAUACAUUGUGAUUUCUGGAUUUUUUUUUUUUUUAAGAUUAUGUCUCUCACAGUGGACAUGCGCCUAUGAUGACAAUUUCAGACCCCUCCAUGAUUUCUAAGUGGGAGAACUUGCAAAAUAGCAGGGUGUUCAAAUACUUAUUUUCCUCACUGUAUGACUUGACUUACAUGAAUCUGAAUUUGGGCAUGAACCCACUUUCAGAUGUGCCUUAAGGUGGAUCAUUAUUAUGCAGUUGGAGAUGUGUGAUGAUGACAAACAAUUCUAUAAAGUUUUCUGUGGAGUUGUAGCUUCAGCCCAAAGUAGUAACAUUUAAUUUUCUAAGAAGGAACACAGUAAGAGUAAAAGCAGAUAAGUAUAGUUUUGCUUGCUAGUAGUGAGAAAUACUGCACUGAAAAUAUGGUAAGGUACCAUUGUGAUGUGGAAACAGGCAUUUUGAAUACUAAUCAUAAUUAUAAUAUUUAGAAAAAAUAAAAGUUUUACUUUUAGCCAUAAUCCUGCGCACUACAUGUCAGCGUGUACAAGCAUGAGUCAAUGCACGACAUGUUUAAUAUACAGGAAAAUGAACCUGUACUGAAAGGUCUGUGGUAAAUAUACAAGUCUUAACCUACUUGAUGGAGCUUUCCUGGGGGCCUCCUGCCAUCUCCGUCCUGGUGUGGUUUGUUUGUUUCGUUGUGACCCAUGCUGGGCCUUCAUUCUAGCUGGGGACAAUUUGGGGGCUUGGGAAACAUCCCUUAGUAUGGCCUCUCUGUACUGUCGCUCCUACACACAGACAAACACACAAAACUGUCAGUAAACUGGGACAAAAUGACCAACAAGCACUCAGUAAUUCACUUUCACUAUUUUCCAUUUUGCCCAUCUUCCUCUAAGCUGAAGGAUUAAUUGUUAUGGUUAAUAUCCUUACAUUGUUGUUUGUUUAAUAGUUGUCUGCAGAGCAGCAGUUGAUAUUUCCCCUUUUCCAUUAUAUACCAACUUUUGGGGUUAAAUUGGUGUUUACAGAUUAGAGAAAAGUUCCCCUUCAGUUUCCAGUAGAACAUAGCAACAAAUGAGGUGCAAUCUAUAUUUUUAUAGUGAAACUGAAUAUUGAAGUGUUAUCUGCAUAUUUUUUGAAUGUGUCGUAAAGUUUUUACUGUUUUAUGACUAACUUUGCAUUUUAUCUGAACAAAUAUGCUUUCACUAAUUGAUUCCAUUAGUACAGCAUAAUGUACAAGUACACAGGCGGAUUACAUUUUUCCCCUUUCCACUUCUGUUAUCUCAAGGUUGUGACUUAUGUGUUUUCUAAUAUUCAUAAUAAACAGUUUGAUAGUCA